AGGGAGCUGGAACGCUAGCGGGGCACAGAGCCAAACCUUCCCAGGACCGGCAGGUCAGAGCCAGCUGCUCACGGGCCACUUUGACAGUGGCGAGGCCACCAAAGGAGAAGAGCAAUGGGAUCCUGCUUCCUCCAGGUGGGGGAGGAAUACAGCUUUGUCGGAGGAGAUACGGAGGAGAUACGUGUCUGGAAUGCGCCGGCUCUGGGGGAGGAGGAAGGAAUGUCUUAGGAGGCGAGACGCUGCAGGGGUCCCAGGCUCCUUCCAUCAUGUAGUGCUGCCAUCUUCAACAUGUGACCUCAUGGGACGCCUGGAUGGCUCAGCGGUUGAGCGUCUGCCUUCGGCUCAGGGUGUGAUCCCGGGGUCCCACGUCGGGCUCCCCGCAGGAAGCCUGCUUCUCCCUCUGCCUGUGUCUCUUCCUCUCUCUCUGUCUCUCAUGAAUAAAUAAAUAAAAUCUUUAACGACAA
Molecule: long non-coding RNA, 464 nt
Filed under: Vulpes vulpes (red fox)
Lineage: Eukaryota; Metazoa; Chordata; Mammalia; Carnivora; Canidae
Description: lncRNA (ENSVVUG00000018001.1)
Source: RNAcentral